Molecule: ribosomal RNA, 497 nt
Filed under: uncultured bacterium
Lineage: Bacteria
Description: partial 16S ribosomal RNA
Rfam family: Bacterial small subunit ribosomal RNA
Source: RNAcentral
GAUGAACGCUGGCGGCGUGCCUAAUACAUGCAAGUCGAGCGAACAGACGAGGAGCUUGCUCCUCUGACGUUAGCGGCGGACGGGUGAGUAACACGUGGAUAACCUACCUAUAAGACUGGGAUAACUUCGGGAAACCGGAGCUAAUACCUGAUAAUAUAUUGAACCGCAUGGUUCAAUAGUGAAGGACGGUUUUGCUGUCACUUAUAGAUGGAUCCGCGCCGCAUUAGCUAGUUGGUAAGGUAACGGCUUACCAAGGCGACGAUGCGUAGCCGACCUGAGAGGGUGAUCGGCCACACUGGAACUGAGACACGGUCCAGACUCCUACGGGAGGCAGCAGUAGGGAAUCUUCCGCAAUGGGCGAAAGCCUGACGGAGCAACGCCGCGUGAGUGAUGAAGGUCUUCGGAUCGUAAAACUCUGUUAUUAGGGAAGAACAAAUGUGUAAGUAACUAUGCACGUCUUGACGGUACCUAAUCAGAAAGCCACGGCUAACUACGUG